AGAAGGCGCCGGGGCAAGCGGCCUGUUGGCGCCCAGUUUCAGCUGGCUGUUCCCGCUAGCAUCAGGGCUCGAUCGUAGAGGACGCGGCAGCCGCAGCUCGCGGAGAACAGCGGGCAGAGCUGUGGGCUGCACGCGCCCCUGCAGCCACCGGGCGUCCCGCAGAGGCUCCCGCGCCCUGCGGCGACUUCCGCCCCCGCGCUCCCCUUUGUCCGAGUCCCCAAGCGGCGGCGGCGGGGUAGGAGCCCACGCCGUGGGCGACUGAGGCGGCGGCAGUCCGCGUCCCGGCGCCCUGGAGAUGCCGGACCAGAUCUCCGUGUCGGAAUUCGUGGCCGAGACCCUUGAGGACUACAAGGCGCCCACGGCCUCUAGCUUCACCACGGGCACGGCCCAGUGCCGGAACACCAUGGCGGCCAUCGAGGAGGUUUAGUCUCCACUGCCAGCUGCCAUGGGCAAGCAGAACAGCAAACUGGGUCCUGAGGUGCUGCAGGACCUGCGGAAAACAGGGAGUUCACCCACCAUGAGCUUCAGGAGUGGUACAAGGGCUUCCUCAAUGACUGUCCCACUGGCCACCUGACUGUGGACAAUUUCAAGAUCUAGGCCAACUUCUUCCCCUACAGAGAUUCCUCCAAGUUUGCUGAACAUGUCUUCCACACCUUUGACACCAACAGCGACAGCACCAUCGACUUUCAAGAGUUCAUCAUUGCUCUGAUCAUGACCUCUCGGGGCAAGCUGGAACAGAAGCUCAAGUGGGCCUUCAGAAUGUCUGAACUAGACAGCAAUAGCUACUUCAGCUGCAGUGAAAUGCUGGAGAUAGUGCAGGUACCUGCACUUGACAGGGCCUGGAGCAUGGGGAGUGCAGGGACCCAGGACCCCUAUCCCCGACCCCAUACACCAGGUCAUUCCUCUGCCCACUUGCUACCUGCUGUAUUAAAGGACUGGAGGUCUUUGCAGCGAGGAAUGAUAAAAGCCAAGCAUCUAUCGAUUGCUUGCUGGACAUCAGGCCCCAGCUGAGCUCAUCCAUCAGGCAAAAUGUCCCUGGAAGAAUUCAACAAAGGUGCCAAGAGUGACCCAUCCAUUGUCUGGUUGCUGCAGUGUGAUCCCAGCAGUGCUAGCCAGUUCUCAGGGGAAUGGGCUUUUACACAGUUGUGAGAAGCACAGUCUUGACCUGCCAUCUUCAGCUUUGCUUGCAAAAGUGGAUUUCUCCGUGAUUUCUCCUGCUCUCUCGGGACCUGGGUCCAGACAGCACAUCACACUCACCUGGUCUAGCUGGAUUCAGCUCCCUCCUCUAUCUGACCCAAUAGAUGUCCGUCCCCAUCCAGUCCAGGCUGGUUCCUUCCAAGGUUUCAAGUGUUCUCAGCUGUAGGGCUCCUUCCCUCCCCACGGAGGGCCUGGAGGCCCUUAAGGACACCAGACAGGACUUUUCAGUAUCUUACCGAGACCAGCUGAUUUAUUCUAUGAUCCCAGCUGACUUUGUGAGCAUGAAGAAGAUGGAGAGUAGAUAGGCAAGCCCUUCCUGUUCAUGGCUCCACCUCCCUUGUUCAUUUUCUCCAACCACAGCUGCUUGCAUGUAUAUACCGUGGUAUCCUUACUUUUAAUAUAUAAGUUUUGUAUAAAGUGAGAAGUUUCAGCCCCUGUAUUUAAAGCCUCUGACUGCCUUUAAAGCAUGGUCCCCUGUGGCUUGUGAUUCUCCCCACCCCCAAAUCUAGCUGUGCUGUGGUAUUUAAGUAUUCAUUUGCCUAAUUAUACAGGAUAUACAUGCAUGCCCAAGGCUGUGGACAUCUGCCCUCCGUCCUGCAAAUACAGGUUUUCUUGGGUGCUCCAUCCUUCCUUUCCAUUGACCUGGAAUAUUAAAAUGGUCAAAUAAACCAA
Molecule: long non-coding RNA, 1869 nt
Filed under: Mus musculus (house mouse)
Lineage: Eukaryota; Metazoa; Chordata; Mammalia; Rodentia; Muridae
Description: RIKEN cDNA 3110053B16 gene, transcript variant 6 (3110053B16Rik)
Source: RNAcentral